GGUUAAUAUUCCUGUACUUGGUGUUACUGCGAAGGGGGGACGGAGAAGGCUAUGUUGGCCGGGCGACGGUUGUCCCGGUUUAAGCGUGUAGGCUGGUUUUCCAGGCAAAUCCGGAAAAUCAAGGCUGAGGCGUGAUGACGAGGCACUACGGUGCUGAAGCAACAAAUGCCCUGCUUCCAGGAAAAGCCUCUAAGCAUCAGGUAACAUCAAAUCGUACCCCAAACCGACACAGGUGGUCAGGUAGAGAAUACCAAGGCGCUUGAGAGAACUCGGGUGAAGGAACUAGGCAAAAUGGUGCCGUAACUUCGGGAGAAGGCACGCUGAUAUGUAGGUGAAGCGACUUGCUCGUGGAGCUGAAAUCAGUCGAAGAUACCAGCUGGCUGCAACUGUUUAUUAAAAACACAGCACUGUGCAAACACGAAAGUGGACGUAUACGGUGUGACGCCUGCCCGGUGCCGGA
Molecule: ribosomal RNA, 460 nt
Filed under: Escherichia coli
Lineage: Bacteria; Pseudomonadati; Pseudomonadota; Gammaproteobacteria; Enterobacterales; Enterobacteriaceae
Description: partial 23S ribosomal RNA
Rfam family: Bacterial large subunit ribosomal RNA
Source: RNAcentral